UACGUAGGGUGCAAGCGUUGUCCGGAAUUAUUGGGCGUAAAGAGCUCGUAGGCGGUCUGUCGCGUCUGCUGUGAAAACUCAGGGCUUAACCCUGAGCUUGCAGUGGGUACGGGCAGACUAGAGUGCGGUAGGGGAAACUGGAAUUCCUGGUGUAGCGGUGAAAUGCGCAGAUAUCAGGAGGAACACCGGUGGCGAAGGCGGGUCUCUGGGCCGUAACUGACGCUGAGGAGCGAAAGCAUGGGGAGCGAACAGG
This 253-nucleotide ribosomal RNA is filed under the name uncultured bacterium. RNAcentral describes it as "partial 16S ribosomal RNA". It matches the Rfam family "Bacterial small subunit ribosomal RNA", at positions 524 to 776 of the family's 1533-position model. The record is from RNAcentral.